RNAcentral lists this ribosomal RNA (301 nucleotides) under uncultured bacterium. RNAcentral describes it as "partial 16S ribosomal RNA". It matches the Rfam family "Bacterial small subunit ribosomal RNA", at positions 509 to 807 of the family's 1533-position model. The record is from RNAcentral.
CAGCAGCCGCGGUAAUACGUAGGUGGCAAGCGUUGUCCGGAAUUAUUGGGCGUAAAGGGCUCGCAGGCGGUUUCUUAAGUCUGAUGUGAAAGCCCCCGGCUCAACCGGGGAGGGUCAUUGGAAACUGGGAAACUUGAGUGCAGAAGAGGAGAGUGGAGUUCCACGUGUAGCGGUGAAAUGCGUAGAGAUGUGGAGGAACACCAGUGGCGAAGGCGACUCUCUGGUCUGUAACUGACGCUGAGGAGCGAAAGCGUGGGGAGCGAACAGGAUUAGAUACCCGAGUAGUCCCUGUCUCUUAUAC